CUCAGGUCCGCGCCCUGUGCCCACGGACGACAGCCCUCCUUCCUCCCUGCGCAUAGAGGCAGCCAGCAUUCUGGGCGCCUCUCCAGAUGGACCCAGGGUGACCCAAGCGGACAAACACUUCAGCUCUCAGACCAGACAGGCAUUUCAAAUCCUCAGGCACACGGGAGAGCGAGGCGUGGGCACUGGUGGUCUCAGUCCUCCUGGCCCAAGGGACCAGAAAGCCCCAAAUCCAGGGGCCAAAUGCAACAAAGGGGGCCCUCCAGAACCCAGACCUGGGUCACAGGCCCCGCCAGGCCUCGGGGCAAAGGUCACACAGCAGUCCCUGCACGCCAGGUCCUGGACGUCCAGGGGGUGAGGCACGUGACGUGACUGAGACCAGAGUCAAGGGCAAACUCCCCACCCCUCAGUGGGAGGGCGCCACAAAGUUACAGAGCAGAAGCCUGGACACAGGUCAUGGUGAGGCCUGGGGACACCAACACGAUCUGUCAUGGGGGGGACAGAUAACUCAACUUUAAAGUCAAGGCUGCUGGAUCAUGACAAGGCAUAUCCCAACCCAGUGUGCUCAUCACCUGGAGAUUCUGGACCUGGAGGUGGACGUCGAGACCAGACCGGCUUUAGGAGGCAGAGAAUGUGCUCUGUGGGAGCAGGACGGCUCCGCUCGCACCGAGCCUGGACGUUCAGAGAAGGACCGAGCGCAGGAGGCCCGCCUCGAGCUCCCUCUGCUUCUCCCAGGACACCUUUCAAAACGACUGCUCAGAGUGGAGCCCGAGAAAAGUGAGUGCUCUCUGCCCCAACCACCCUGCACAUAACAGGUGCCCACCGCCCUGCUAUCCGUCUCCUGCGGGCUCAGGACCUGGACAGAGGACUGCCCUUCCCCCAUCUCCCUGCCCCCCAGCUCCUGGAUCUAUGGUGAUAAACCUGUGACCCCACUUCCUUUGUGUGAUGGUCCUGAAAUGGCGCCUUGCGUCAAAAUGACCCUGGGGUUUUCACUUCCCCAGCAGAGUGGGAGCUGGGACGCCCAGGGAGCAACCUGCUAACCCCGUGUGGGUGGCUCGUGCCCCAUCAUUCAGCAGGUCAUCAUCUGCAGAUUCUUAAUUCACUACACCAGCUAUAGUGCCCCCCACACAAGACCCGAUCUCCAAAUACAGCCACAUGGGAGGUUGGGGCUUCAACAUACGUGUUUUGGGGGGACUACUCAGUCUAUAACACUAAAGGAGGUAAAAAUGCCAGAACUCAGGAAAGCAGGAAUGCCAGAUUGGAUAUGAGCUCGGAAGACCAGUGUAUUCGUUUCUUCUCACUGCUGUAAACAUGUGCAAAUUCCUGAAAACUUGGUGGCUUAAAACGGUUUUGUGGUUUCUCACAGUCUGGAGGCCAGAAAAUGAAACUGAAAUCAAGAUGCCUUAGGGCCCUGUUCCCUCCGAAAAGUCUAAGGGAGUGUCCUUUUCCUGGGCUUUUCCAGCUUCUAGAAUGGCAUUCCGUGGAUCAUGGCCUCUUCCUCUGUCUUCAAAGCCAGUCGCCUGGCAUCUUCCAAUCUCCCUCUGCUUCCAUCCUCGCAUGACCUUCUUCUGCCAAAUCCCCCUCUGCCUCCCUUAUGGGCCCUGGUGAUGACAUCGGGCCCACCCGGAGAAACAGGCUAAAUUUCCUCAUUUCAGAAUGCUUCAUCGCAUCUGCAAAGGGAUUAGAACCUGGAUAUCUCUGGGGUCCUUAUUUAGCCGAUCACAGCCAGAAACCCCACCAGCGGGUUGUGCUCUGUGGGAGGCCCUAAAGGAAACUUCAUUUACCAAUGUAACAGGAGUGUUCGGGUGAGGAGAGCACCAGCAUCAGCGAGAAGGCGAGUGGAGGCCGGCCACUGUGGGCCAGGCCGAUGGCAGGGAUGCUCUUUCAGAACUGUACUCCCAGAGCACCUGGGACAAUGGGACCCGAAACAGCAGAAGGCCAGGAGCAGCACCCAAACAUCAGAAGCAAGGAGGGUGCAUUAUCAGAGGCCCAGCAGGGUGGUCUUGGAGCCAGGGGCUCAGUGACCGGCAGAGAGCUGAGAGACCAUCAGUAAAACAUGGCAUUCCUAGGUGAGACCCAUGGGCAGCCAGCAAGGAUACUGCACCAUCUCUAUGAGCAAAAGAAAUUAACAAGGUCUGCUCAGGAGGCUGAGAACGGCCAGCCUAUUACAGGCUGAACCAUGUCCCCCAAAUUCAUAUGUCAGUCUUGACCCCCAGCACCUCAGAUGUGACCGUAUUUGGAGAUGGGGUCUUUAAAGAGGUGAUUAAGGUAAAAUGAGGUCACUAGGGUGGGCCCUAAUCCAGUGUAACUAGCGUCCUUAUACGAAGAGGAUAUGAGGACACAGACACACACAAAGGGACGACCAUGUGAGGACACAGGGAAGAGACGGCGUCUACACGCCAAGGAGAGAGGCCUCAGCGGGAACCAGGCCCACCCACACCUGGAUCUCAGAUGGCCAGCCUCCAGGACUGGGAGACAAUACAUUUUUCCAGUAUGAGCCAUCUUUGUGUAGUGUUUGUCACGGCAGCCCAAGGCAUGGUCCCCUGCCUGAGCUAGUUUUCAGACCCGUAACCACUGACCAAAGGAGGAGUCAGGUCCCCUUAGGAAGGACCCUGAGAUGCCAUGGUGCAUGGAUGUGGUGGACCCCAGCGGCCCUGCCCCACCCCCAAAGCCAUCACCACGACUGGAGAUGUAAUUCAGAACCACAUCGUGGGGAAAGGAGAGCACGCAGGCUCUUCGAGGCUGCUGGACCUGGGCGCCAAGCUGGCACUGACAGCCAGGGAUGGAGGCACCAGUGUGGCCCUGUCAGAGGAGGGCGUAUGGAGGCCAUGGAGGCUUGGUGGCUCACACUGAACCAGGCCACUACUGGGUCCCUGGACCACUGCUUAUUCCCCCCAGACCCCAAAUGUAUACCCGGACCAUCUUAGUGGCUGGCAGAACUCCCCCGUAGGUUGUUGGUCCAGGGGAGCAAAAACCAUCACAGCAGAAGCCUCUGAAACUGCCCCUCCACCAUAGCCAAGACAGGAAAACAAGAAUAAUACACACGCUGGGGAGGAGCAGCGAAUGGUGCCCCUCCGAGAGACCACCAUCGCCCCCAAUUAGUUCACCAGUCCAGCUGCACAAAACGGGAGGAAUGGCGGAGGAUGCUGGCAGACCACUGCGAACUUGUGUCAAGCCGACUGGGCCCUGGGGCGCCCAGACAUUUGGUCAACCGUUAUUCUGGGCAUGUCUGUGUGGGCGUUUCUCAUAGAGAUUAACAUUUGAAAGGAUAGAUAAGGAAGGAACGAGGGCCGAGGCCCGGCCCUCCCUAGUGCGGGCGAGCGUGCUCUCUGCCCAACAGCCUUCCAGCUGGAGCCAGGGUCUCCUCCUGCCUUCAGAGUUGCACCAGACCUUAUACCAUUGGUCUCCCAGUUCUCGAGCCUUCAGACUGCUGAGCUUGGGACUUCUGGGCCUCCAUAAUCACACGAGCCAACUCCUUAUGAUAAAUCCCUUUGUGUAUAUUUAUCCUAUUGGCUGUGUCCCUCUGGAGGACCCUGACCAGUACAUAAGUCAACCGAGCAGUCGCCCAGUGGCAGCUGCUGGGCCAGCUAUGACAUCUUCGCUAGAGCAGAGUGACACAGCGUUGGGUACAUGGUACGUGGCCACCAAUCUCGCGAGUGAGUCCUAUUCCACCCCCAGUAAGAAGGAGCCCUGGAUAUCUCUGGGGGGCCGUUAUCCUGCCCUGCGCCCCUGGGGAAGAGGCACGUGGUAAACCUACGGGAUUGGCCGUGAGGGGCAAGAUCUUGGUACCACGUGUUUGUGUCCUCCAGGAGAGGCAAUAAGCAACCGACAGGUAGAAUGGCCUCUGACACUGGCCUCCCAAAUGCUGGCCCACUGGGCCAAUGAAUGGGGUAGCCUUGGGGACAGACGUGGAGGCUGUCUAUGGGGCCAACAGCAUGGCCUCAUCCACCAAGGCUGAUCCAGCUAGGACCGCAGCCAAAUGUCCAACCUGCCAGUCACAGGCUGCUAUUGAGCCCCAGCUAUGGUGCCACCCUUGAGGGGGGCGUUCAGGUAAACCACUCACUUUGGAGACUUCCCACUGCAAGGGGCAGCUUUGCAUCCUCAGUGGAACUGACACACACACCAGGCUGAUCAUCCCCGACCACAGGAUCUCAGCCCACCCCACUCUAUGAGGACUUAUAAAGUGUUUGACCCACCAACACGGGAUGUGCAUGGCAUCACCCUGGACCAAGGGACCCACUUUAUGACUUGACAGGAGGUGUGGCAGUGGGCCUGUGGCCAUGCAGUUCCCAGCAGAGACCACAGCACUCAGAGGCCGCCAGCCCCCCAGAGCAUGGGAGCUGCCUUUGGAAAGCUCAGCUGAGGCCACCGCUGGGCUGACACCAUUUGAGAAUGGGGCAUCACGUUGCAGGAUGCAGCAUUCACUCUAAACCAACAAGCACCAUGUGGUGCACCAUCCCCAUUGAGUCUUGGAAUGAGGGAUAGAGCGGGGGUGGCCUCACUCACCAUCACUCCUGAUACCGAACCUCUUAAUCUCAAGUUUGUGUGCCCGAUGCACAGGAAACCAGUCACUGAGACGCAGUGCUUGGAGAUGCGGAAAGGUUUAUUUGAAUUGGCCAAAAUGAGAAGGCAGGAGGAUAGGUCCUCCCAAAUCCACCUUAACAAGAGAAGAAAGCAGGGGGUUUUAUAGAGCUAAGGGGCUUGGGAAGAGGCAUUGAAGAGAAACAAAGAGGUAAUCUGUGUUUCUUGCACUCCAGACAAGCCCUUGGGCAACCUGACUUCUGGGGAUCAAGGGCAGCUGGGGGCUGGUUAUCCCUGAUCUGUAACUUAGCCUCAUUGAAUAUUUACAGUAACCCUCAGGUACCCGGCUUCACUCCCAGUGACCCACGUGGGACUUGCGCUUGCUGCCUCUCCACUAGGCUGUGUGGAUCAGAGGAGGACCAUUCCACCAGUGGACACGGCAGGAGUCCCGCUGACCUUUAGGCCAUAGCUCCUGCUUUGUCACUUUGGGUUCUUUGUCCCCAGGGACCCAGAGGCAGGACAAGGAGUCCCCAGACUGUCAGGGAGACUGACAGUGACCAUGAGGAAGUAGGACUGCUGAUCCACAAUGGGGCCUGGGUGGCCCACCGGGGUCUCUUGGUAUCUCCCUGCCCAUUUUACUGGAGAGUGGGCCAGUGCAGCAGCCACAGCCUGAGACAGGAAUGCUGACUAGAGGGUCAUUCCCCCAGCAGGCGAUGCUCACGCAGUGUCCCUCCCUAGGAAAUGCCCCCGCCAAGGGGAGCUGCCCCACCUGAGGUUUUGCCCCCUCCCUGCUGGCAGCCUGGACCCAACGAAUGACCAGAGGACGAAGCAAAAAGGCUGGUUCCUCUGCCUCAAUUCAGGACAUCUCUCAAGGGCCAGAGACGUCCUGAGGUACCAUGCGAAGCCUUCGUCCUCGGGAGCCCGUCAAAGCUCGACAUCCGCCUCUGCCCGCCCUGCUUCCGGGGCUCUCUCACACGCUUGCUCCAAGUCCUCCCCACGAAACCUCUGGCCUGACCUCUCUGUCUCAGAGUGUCUUUCUCAGGAAACCCAAUCGCAGACUCUUUCCAGACAAUGAAUCCUCAGGAGGUGUCCAGGCCUCUAGCUGGGUUGACACCUCUCCACCCCGGGACCUGAGGGUAUUGCUCGUCCCCCAGGCCUAGCGUUUCGUGGUGGGCACUGGCACGCCCACACUGGCUGUUAAAAUGCUAAGCUACUUCCAUACAGACUCAUAAGCAGCCCCUGCCUCGAGCCUCCAGGUGUCCCCACGAGGCCACCCCAGCCAAUCCCCCAGGAUCCAUCCAGGGCACCACAGAGGACUCCUGGAAGGAUGCUCAGCACUGUGGCCAGGCCCUUCUGAUGGGUCAGUACCCCGCAGUGUCACCUGCUAACCAUCUCAUCUCACCUGUGUGAGUCCGCUCGGACGGCCGUAACAAGGCACUGCGGACGGGGCGCAGACAAUAGCAGUUUACUUCUCGCAGUCCUGGAGGCUGGAUGUCCAAGAGGGAGCUGUCAGCAGAGUUGGUUCCUCCCAGGGUUGUGAGGGAGAAUCUGGUCCAGGGAAUUUUGGGGGCUCCUUGGCUUGUAGAGGCAUCACCCCAAUCUCUGCCUCCAUCUUCACAUGACGUUCUCCUUGAGUCUUUCUCUAGUCUCCCUCCGCCUUUCUCUUAUAAGAACACUUGUCAUUGGAUUUAGGGUCCACUCUGAAUGCCAUUUAGGAGAGGCAGGGGCUGUGCUUAGCCAGGGCCCUCUGCUCUAACGGGGACGCACAGCAGCACCCGGCCCCAGUGGGUGACGGGAUCUGACCCCAGAGUGUCCCAAAGGAGAGGGCCGUGGGAGCUGCUGCCCUGCAGCUGAUCGAGCCAGACCCACGUGCCCGACAAGGUCCAAGGUCGGCUGGGGGGCCUCCAACGCAGACCCCACCCCUCCAGGAAGCCUGGCUCACCCACCCCAGGACUCUGGGAAGGAAGCAGGCUGGAGCCAGGACCCAUCCUGGACCCCGUAUAUGCUCCCUGCCCACCCCCGAGACUUGGCCUGCCCCGCUAUCCCAUCCCCCUGGGCAGGCCUGGCCACCUGAGCCUGUGUUUGAGGUCGAAGGUUGCUUGGCUGCACCCAGAUUCAGGGCUCAGCCCAGGUCCAGUGCCCUCAGGUUGGGCACCCAGUGGGAAGUGCCCGCACUGGAUCUGCCACGUCCCCUGCCACCCUCUGCCCUUGCUGGUAGGGGUGGGGAGAGAGUGAGGCCUGAAUGAUGGGGGUACAGGCAGCCGUCGCGGAGCCCCGGCGCACUUUGGGGACGGGGACGAGCAGAGGGGAGGUCGAACCUCGGCGUUCUCUCCGCUGAGGUCCUUUCCUACCCUCCUGGCAGACUCAGGCCCUCUACUUGGGGGGACUCCUUCUCCACCCUCCCCUGCGCCGGUGCCCCCACCUCAGGAAAUGGCCUUUCCACCCCGAUACAGCCAAGCCUGGGAGCCUCCCUCAGCGCCCCCUUCCCGCCUGCCCAUCACCUGGGCUGUCCCCCAAAUAGCCCUGUUGUCACGCUGUGGCUCCAUCUGGCCUCUCCGUCGCCCACCUGGGCCCCUGGAUGACUGCCCCCUCCCCCUCCCCCCCAAUCUGUCUUCAAUGUCACGGCCAAAGGCAUCCAAAUUCCUGAUGAGCAUCGUGCCCUCCUCUGCAGAAGCCUGGAGCCCCACUGCCUGAAGACCCACUGCCCAUGGUCAAAUCCUGGCUCCUGGGUGGAACCUUUGCGACCCCAGGGCCCGUCUCUGCUCCCCUGCGCCCUGCCCCCUCAUCCGCCAAGGUGCUCCCACCUGCCAUCUGAGGGCGUGGCUUUGACAUUUUCUCUCCCGAUUAUGUAGUCAUUUGGAGACCAGAGCCGGCCCUUUGGUGAAGCUGUGACAGGAGGCAGAUCUGACUGCAUUCCUCUUCCUUAAUCUUAAGAACUGAAACCACAUACCACCCCCCCACCCCCACCACGGUUCAGAUACUGAGGACGCCCGCCCCCACGCCACAGCCUGCAGUCUCCAUUGGCAGGACACCCUCCUCGUCCGCAGCCUGUUCGAAGCCUUGGGCUCAUGGGGACCCAUCAACUCUCCAAGGAGAAGCAUCCACGACAGUUAGGUCCCCGACCCCUCCCCUGCUGGGGACCCCUGCAGCCUGGGCGUUACCAGUCCCCAACAAGCUUCCCACUUUUGAAAGACCCACCUUCAACCAAACUUCCUGCUCUCAGUAGCCCCGCCUCGGCCCCCACCUGUGUGGGCACCCCUCCUUCUCCUGUGCAUGGCCCAUUUCUCUUUCAGGUCUCAGCCGGGCAGCCCCCUCCCCACAAGUACGUUCCGGGACCCAAGCGUCCUCUUUGUGGC
This 7874-nucleotide long non-coding RNA is filed under the name Equus caballus (horse). RNAcentral describes it as "lncRNA (ENSECAG00000046640.1)". Lineage: Eukaryota; Metazoa; Chordata; Mammalia; Perissodactyla; Equidae. The record is from RNAcentral.